This 253-nucleotide ribosomal RNA is filed under the name uncultured bacterium. RNAcentral's name for it is "partial 16S ribosomal RNA". It matches the Rfam family "Bacterial small subunit ribosomal RNA", at positions 524 to 776 of the family's 1533-position model. The record is from RNAcentral.
UACGUAGGUGACAAGCGUUGUCCGGAUUUACUGGGCGUAAAGAGCGCGCAGGCGGUCGUUCAAGUCGAGUGUGAAAGCCCCCGGCUCAACUGGGGAGGGUCACUCGAUACUGAUCGACUCGAAGGCAGGAGAGGGUAGUGGAAUUCCCGGUGUAGUGGUGAAAUGCGUAGAUAUCAGGAGGAACACCGAUGGCGAAGGCAGGUCUCUGGGCUGAAACUGACGCUCAUGCACGAAAGCGUGGGGAGCAAACAGG